GAGAAAACAACUGUGGAAAGGAGUCUCCCUCUCUCCAGCAUUCAAGCAGCUGUGCCGGGCUCUGCAGCUUCCCUCGGUCCUUACUUUUCUGUGCAGCAGCUGCUUUGGAGUCACCCCUGCUCCCUGAUGCUGUAACUCUUACACAUGGCUGGCCCUUUAAUGGGAUCCCUGGAAAAAUUACUCCAGGUGAAACAACUGAUGGAGAAUGGAAGAGAGUCUGGAAAGGUGACAACCCCUUACCCCAAGACCCUCAUAAUACACCCAUUCCUGCUGGAAGCAGACAGCAAGCCCUAGCAAGUUACUUUCCUUUCUUUUACCAUGAAGAUCUCACUCAAGACCAGCAAGAAAUUACAACUCUGAAGGAUCUCACAACAACACCUCAUCCACAUCUGUGUAGCCAAUUGUAGCCAUUUCCUCCUGGAGGAAAGAGGGGGACUCAUAACAUUUAGGAAGUAACAGAAACUACUAGAGUUGCAAGGCUCUGUCCUCAAGAUUGUAAGAGCAGUAAACAAUUUCUUGGGAGAGGAGAUCUUUCUGGCAGCCAAGUCAUCUGCAAGUUAUGGGAGAAGCCCCAUGAGGAGAAGCCAAGCUGAGAUCGGUUGCUGUGGUGGAUGCCAGCUGCCAUGCCAGAGUACACACAACACCCUGGCACAGCUAAGGGAUGCUUCAGAGGAGCCUGCCAGGCAACAGCCUACCUGGCAUGGAAGACACUUGAAAGCUGAUUGCUAAACAUGGUCAAGCUGUGAUGGCACUCCUAGUGAGCCUCACCUGCUGUCACCUCUGGUGGCACAGUGCCCGAGACACCUUGCAAUGCUGCUCAUGGGUUGCUUACCCACACAAACUGUAAUAAAAUAAUAAACAAUUGAGUUUGUGAAGCUUG
This is a long non-coding RNA of Mus musculus (house mouse), 880 nucleotides long. RefSeq annotates it as RIKEN cDNA E030044B06 gene. The transcript has 5 exons. The record is from RefSeq and is marked validated. Lineage: Eukaryota; Metazoa; Chordata; Mammalia; Rodentia; Muridae.